RNAcentral lists this transfer RNA (34 nucleotides) under Chlorolobion braunii. Its description in RNAcentral is "tRNA-Leu". Lineage: Eukaryota; Viridiplantae; Chlorophyta; Chlorophyceae; Sphaeropleales; Selenastraceae. The record is from RNAcentral.
GGGGAUAUGGCGGAAUGGUAGACGCUACGGACUU